UACGGAGGGGGCUAGCGUUGUUCGGAAUUACUGGGCGUAAAGCGCGCGUAGGCGGCUUUGUAAGUUAGAGGUGAAAGCCCGGAGCUCAACUCCGGAAUUGCCUUUAAGACUGCAUCGCUAGAAUUGUGGAGAGGUGAGUGGAAUUCCGAGUGUAGAGGUGAAAUUCGUAGAUAUUCGGAAGAACACCGGUGGCGAAGGCGACUCACUGGACACAUAUUGACGCUGAGAUGCGAAAGCGUGGGGAGCAAACAGG
RNAcentral lists this ribosomal RNA (253 nucleotides) under uncultured bacterium. Its description in RNAcentral is "partial 16S ribosomal RNA". It matches the Rfam family "Bacterial small subunit ribosomal RNA", at positions 524 to 776 of the family's 1533-position model. The record is from RNAcentral.